GUAACAGGACUUAGAUCUGAAUAAAUGCUGUGUUGGUACCUUUUGGUGUUGUAAUGUUUUUUCUUUUUUGUAAUAUAUUAUUUUUUUUCCCACCAGGAAAGAUGCAAGCUGUGCAUGAACAUGUCGAACGCCAAAAAAAAAAUGUUUUUAAGUUCAGCUGACCUUCAAAUCCUUUUGGGAAUGCGCUGUCCAAAAGUUCAACAUCACAACCUUGGACUUGAAAGUGUUUGAUGACUCAAAGACAGAAGUUGAUGAGCAGGUUUUUGAUCUCCUGUUGAAAAACCCAAACCUUGGUGUGUUGGAAAUUUGUCUGGCCGAAGAUACAAAUCCAGAAGAUCAGCCGAGUUGUCUUGCAUAGAGCUGCAAUACCAGUUCAAGUGGAGAUACUGAAGUGGACUCAGAUGACACAAUAAUAUUACAACACAGUCCUACAACAAGACGAAGAGUUGAAGACACCUCUCUGGCCAAAGUGGUUGCUGUCAUUGGUGAGGAUGCAUCAUCCGUUGAAGGUCAUGUGAAUGUCCUGCAUAUCCAGUACAGCAAGGUGCGAGAGGAUAUACUAAAGAAGUACCCUUUCUUGAAGACAACCUCAGGGUUGUUUGAUGUUGACCGAAUGCAUCCAUCACAUGUCAG
Molecule: non-coding RNA, 633 nt
Organism: Oryzias latipes (Japanese medaka)
Lineage: Eukaryota; Metazoa; Chordata; Actinopteri; Beloniformes; Adrianichthyidae
Source: RefSeq, a predicted model, not a curated record